Molecule: ribosomal RNA, 114 nt
Filed under: Pteropus alecto (black flying fox)
Lineage: Eukaryota; Metazoa; Chordata; Mammalia; Chiroptera; Pteropodidae
Source: RNAcentral
GUCUAUGGCCAUGCCACCUUGAAAGUGCUCAAUGUCAUCUGAUCUCGUAAGCUAAGCAGGGCCUGGUUAGUACUUGGAAGGGAGACCACCUAGGAAGACCAGGUGCUGUAGGCG